This 345-nucleotide long non-coding RNA is filed under the name Vigna radiata. Its description in RNAcentral is "long non-coding RNA (VRAD_LNC004979)". The record is from RNAcentral. Lineage: Eukaryota; Viridiplantae; Streptophyta; Magnoliopsida; Fabales; Fabaceae.
ACAAAUAAUAAAAACUGAAUAUAAAAUAUCAACUUACUUAAAAUCAAAACCUCGUAUAUUUAUUUUAUCUCAAUCAAAAUCAAACCAAAUAUUACUGAACAAAUCUCUAAAAUUUGAGUUUAUCUAACAAAAAUCCCCCUUAAACUUAAAUUUUUCAUCAUUUAUUCUCGACCUCUGCUUUGAGAUCUCUUCUCCUUAUUCUUCUCGAAAUCUGCUCCUUAUUCUUCUCUCCUCAUUUUUCUCCUUAUUCUUCUCUCUCCCUGAUCGUCUACGGCCUUGAGUAUUCCGAACUUCUACCCUUCAUGUGAAACUUUUCCUGAAGCACUUGAAGUAGUGGCUAAAAUU